RNAcentral lists this non-coding RNA (30 nucleotides) under Mus musculus (house mouse). Lineage: Eukaryota; Metazoa; Chordata; Mammalia; Rodentia; Muridae. The record is from RNAcentral.
UGAGAGUCAAGACAUGUCCAUACACUGGCA